UACGUAGGGUGCAAGCGUUAAUCGGAAUUACUGGGCGUAAAGAGUGCGUAGGCGGUUUUGUAAGUGGGACGUGAAAGCUCCCGGCUAAACUGGGAGAGGACGACUCAGACUGCGAGACUAGAGGGCGAUAGAGGAGCGUGGAAUUCGGGGUGUAGCGGUGAAAUGUGUAGAGAUCCCGAGGAACACCAGUGGUGCAAACGACGCUCUGGGUUGCUACUGACGCUGAGGCACG
This 232-nucleotide ribosomal RNA is filed under the name uncultured bacterium. RNAcentral's name for it is "partial 16S ribosomal RNA". It matches the Rfam family "Bacterial small subunit ribosomal RNA", at positions 524 to 755 of the family's 1533-position model. The record is from RNAcentral.